This 433-nucleotide ribosomal RNA is filed under the name uncultured bacterium. Its description in RNAcentral is "partial 16S ribosomal RNA". It matches the Rfam family "Bacterial small subunit ribosomal RNA", at positions 29 to 507 of the family's 1533-position model. The record is from RNAcentral.
AACGAACGCUGGCGGCAUGCCUAACACAUGCAAGUCGAACGAGACCUUCGGGUCUAGUGGCGCACGGGUGCGUAACGCGUGGGAACCUGCCCUUAGGUUCGGAGUAACUCCCCGAAAGGGGUGCUAAUACCGGAUAAUGUCUUCGGACCAAAGAUUUAUCGCCUUUGGAUGGGCCCGCGUUGGAUUAGCUAGUUGGUAGGGUAAAAGCCUACCAAGGCGACGAUCCAUAGCUGGUCUGAGAGGAUGAUCAGUCACACUGGGACUGAGACACGGCCCAGACUCCUACGGGAGGCAGCAGUGGGGAAUAUUGGACAAUGGGCGAAAGCCUGAUCCAGCAAUGCCGCGUGAGUGAUGAAGGCCUUAGGGUUGUAAAGCUCUUUUACCCGGGAUGAUAAUGACAGUACCGGGAGAAUAAGCUCCGGCUAACUCCGUG